This 479-nucleotide ribosomal RNA is filed under the name uncultured bacterium. Its description in RNAcentral is "partial 16S ribosomal RNA". It matches the Rfam family "Bacterial small subunit ribosomal RNA", at positions 28 to 507 of the family's 1533-position model. The record is from RNAcentral.
GACGAACGCUGGCGGCGCGCUUAACACAUGCAAGUCGAGCGAUGAAAUUUCGACAGAUCCCUUCGGGGUGAAGAUGAAAUGGAUUAGCGGCGGACGGGUGAGUAACACGUGAGUAACCUGCCUUUGACAUUGGGAUAGCCUCGGGAAACUGGGAUUAAUACCAAAUGACACUAACUGAUCACAUGAUCAAUUAGUCAAAGAAAUUCGGUCAAAGAUGGACUCGCGGCUGAUUAGCUAGUUGGUGAGGUAACGGCCCACCAAGGCGACGAUCAGUAGCCGGCCUGAGAGGGUGAUCGGCCGCAUUGGAACUGAGACACGGUCCAAACUCCUACGGGAGGCAGCAGUGGGGAAUAUUGCACAAUGGGGGAAACCCUGAUGCAGCGACGCCGCGUGAGCGAAGAAGGCCUUCGGGUCGUAAAGCUCUUUUAUGAGGGAAGAUAAUGACGGUACCUCAAGAAAAAGCCCCGGCUAACUACGUG